ACAUCGGCCCUUUUCAGGGCCAACAUUUUCCACACGUUCGUUAAAG
Molecule: non-coding RNA, 46 nt
Organism: Pediculus humanus corporis (human body louse)
Lineage: Eukaryota; Metazoa; Arthropoda; Insecta; Psocodea; Pediculidae
Source: Rfam